This 348-nucleotide long non-coding RNA is filed under the name Solanum tuberosum (potato). RNAcentral describes it as "long non-coding RNA (STUB_LNC000217)". Lineage: Eukaryota; Viridiplantae; Streptophyta; Magnoliopsida; Solanales; Solanaceae. The record is from RNAcentral.
UCGAGAUUUAAAUACAUAGCACCUGGUGAGAGUUUAAAGGUGACUAGAAAUGUAUUUUGGCUCAAAGCUUCAGAUUUUUUACUCAAAUUAGGUGAAAAAGAUGACAUAGCAAAGCUAUAAACACAAGCUGGAAGGUAAUUUAUGGUGGUCAGCUUACCUGAGACGAGGAUUCCGACGAGCAGCUGAAGAAGAAGACUGAUUGACGCAGCAAGAGAUCGCCUCACUUUCCUUUAUGAGAAUGACAAUUUAUUAUUCUUUCCUUUGCUCUUUUAAAUUAGGUUUCUUAAUUGUUUUUUUUAAUUUUUUUGGUUUUUCUGUUGAAUGGUUGGUUGAUCCAGACCAUAUCAC